RNAcentral lists this non-coding RNA (26 nucleotides) under Mus musculus (house mouse). The record is from RNAcentral. Lineage: Eukaryota; Metazoa; Chordata; Mammalia; Rodentia; Muridae.
UUAGAGGGUCUGCAGAGACUGCCUGU